UGUGCUUCGGUGGCAGUAUACUGAAACUGAAAGGAUACAGAGAAGAUUAGCAUGGCCCCUG
This 61-nucleotide small nuclear RNA is filed under the name Erinaceus europaeus (western European hedgehog). Lineage: Eukaryota; Metazoa; Chordata; Mammalia; Eulipotyphla; Erinaceidae. The record is from RNAcentral.